GUUUUUUAUGGUAGUAUGGUGACAGAAAGGCUAUCUAGAAGUCCCAAUGGUAGACUUAAUGCUACAAGUAAGUCUUCCUCUUUGCUAUCACAUCAUUCUCAUGUGGAUCCAGGAUACAAAAUCUGAGCACCACUACAUAUUGGUAUCUGAUAAACGACUGCAGUGGCUGGAGAGAGAGAGAGAGAGAGAGAGAGAGAGAGGAGAGAGAGAGGAGAUUUGGAGUUGGAAUCACAGCAGCAGCAGCAUCACCAGCAAGAAGAUCUUAAGGCCAUGAGAAUUCUCCACCAGAAUUCUCAACCCAGUGGCAAGGUGAGCUUCACUGUGGUUGCGGUGCUCUAGAGCAGGUUAAUGACCAUGCGUUUCUCUACAGGGGCAUGGUGCUGUAUAAAUCCAAUUAGUCUGGAGACAAGGAGCAUCAUCACACCCAUGGAAGUGUAUCAAUUAUUGUGACACACUAGGUAGGAUCCAAUCCAACUUCAGCAACUUGCAGAGAAAGAGAGAACUAAGAAAAACAAAGAAUAGUGGCCAUGGCCAUAUCUGGACAAAUUAAGUGAGAUUGUGUUGUAAUACUACAUUGUUUAUAAAGUGUCUCCUGCC
This 597-nucleotide long non-coding RNA is filed under the name Selaginella moellendorffii. Its description in RNAcentral is "long non-coding RNA (SMOE_LNC000730)". Lineage: Eukaryota; Viridiplantae; Streptophyta; Lycopodiopsida; Selaginellales; Selaginellaceae. The record is from RNAcentral.